The sequence is a vault RNA, 101 nucleotides long. Its record names the gene Vault. It matches the Rfam family "Vault RNA". Rfam says of the family: This family of RNAs are found as part of the enigmatic vault ribonucleoprotein complex. The complex consists of a major vault protein (MVP), two minor vault proteins (VPARP and TEP1), and several small untranslated RNA molecules. It has been suggested that the vault complex is involved in drug resistance. The record is from Ensembl.
GCGCUGGUGUAGCUCAGUGGUUACUUCAAACACUUUCUCUAUCAGAAACAUUCUCUACCUCUGCAAAAGGGUUUGAACCACAGGCGCUGUCCAGUGUUUUG